UACGGGGGGGGCAAGCGUUGUUCGGAAUUACUGGGCGUAAAGGGCUCGUAGGCGGCCAACUAAGUCAGACGUGAAAUCCCUCGGCUUAACCGGGGAACUGCAUCUGAUACUGGAUGGCUUGAGUUCGGGAGAGGGAUGUGGAAUUCCAGGUGUAGCGGUGAAAUGCGUAGAUAUCUGGAGGAACACCGGUGGCGAAGGCGGCGCUCUGGACCGAGACUGACGCUGAGGCGCGAAAGCGUGGGGAGCAAACAGG
This 253-nucleotide ribosomal RNA is filed under the name uncultured bacterium. Its description in RNAcentral is "partial 16S ribosomal RNA". It matches the Rfam family "Bacterial small subunit ribosomal RNA", at positions 524 to 776 of the family's 1533-position model. The record is from RNAcentral.